AUGGAUGGCCGCAAUCUGCUGGGUGCUGCAGGAGCUGAUCGAGCGAGGCGGAACCAGGCCAAGAUCGUCCAGAUGGCGGUGCCGGUGCUGGCCAUGCUGCUGCUGCUGCUCACGGCGGCGGCGGCGGUCUCCAUGGCGCCCGACGGCACUGCCCGGCUGCACGUCUUGUUCUGCAGCAACCACUUCGUGAUGAUGUGCGUGCUCUCCCAGAUCAACCUGGCCUGUCUUUUCGCGAGGAAGGCCGCUCGGGCGCGGACGCUGGCGGCCCGGCGCUGGUACGCGGUGGGCGCCGCCGCGUGCUUCGUGGAGCUCGCGCUCAAGCCCUACAGGAUCCGUCUGCUGUGCCACGCGGCUGUGGAGGAUGGUGCCUAG
RNAcentral lists this ribosomal RNA (372 nucleotides) under Triticum aestivum (bread wheat). RNAcentral describes it as "partial small subunit ribosomal RNA". Lineage: Eukaryota; Viridiplantae; Streptophyta; Magnoliopsida; Poales; Poaceae. The record is from RNAcentral.